UGGAGAAUCUUGCACAAUGGGCGAAAGCCUGAUGCAGCAACGCCGCGUGCGGGAAGAAGGCCCUAGGGUUGUAAACCGCUUUCAGCAGGGAAGAAACUGACGGUACCUGUAGAAGAAGGUGCGGCCAACUACGUGCCAGCAGCCGCGGUGACACGUAGGCACCAAGCGUUGUCCGGAUUUAUUGGGCGUAAAGAGCUCGUAGGCGGUUCGGUAAGUCGGGUGUGAAAACUCAGGGCUCAACCCAGAGCCGCCACCUGAUACUGCUGUGACUCGAGUGCGGUAGGGGAGCGGGGAAUUCCUGGUGUAGCGGUGAAAUGCGCAGAUAUCAGGAGGAACACCAGUGGCGAAGGCGCCGCUCUGGGCCGUGACUGACGCUGAGGAGCGAAAGCGUGGGUAGCAAACAGGAUUAGAUACCCUGGUAGUCCACGCCGUAAACGUCGGGCACUAGGUGUGGGUCUCAACCAACGAGAUCCGCGCCGUCGCUAACGCUAAG
This 493-nucleotide ribosomal RNA is filed under the name uncultured Actinomycetes bacterium. Its description in RNAcentral is "bacterial SSU rRNA". It matches the Rfam family "Bacterial small subunit ribosomal RNA", at positions 355 to 864 of the family's 1533-position model. Lineage: Bacteria; Bacillati; Actinomycetota; Actinomycetes. The record is from RNAcentral.